AUGGUUGUCAUUAUUGAUGAUUGAGUACAAGUAUAUAUAGCACCGGGGGUUACAUCCAACAAACGCAAUGGUCUCGAAAGACACGAGCGAAGAGUCGCGUCCCUCGUGCAUGAUGGUUAGGGAUAGUGGAGAUUCUUUUUAAUUAACACGUGGAUUAAUUAAAUCUCAACAAACAUAAGAACAUUUCCGCAUCUCAACCCUUUCCUUACUUUUCUUUUUUUAACCUCCUCAACAUUCACUAGCUUUUAAUCCCCGAUAUACAAGACACUAAACAUUUUACGCACCUGCCACUUCCCCUAAACAUAAUUACACACAAAUUUAGUCUAGUUCAUGGCGUAAUUAAACAAUAGAAGCAUUGAACAUGCUGUAAUUAAAAAUUAAAUUAAACAUGAUAAAACAUCGAUACAACAACAUUAUCACUGCAGAAGCACAUUGAACAUGACAUAAUUAAACACUAAAUUGAGCAUGACAAAACAUCGCUACAAGCCUACAACAACAUCAGUACAUCACCACUGCUAUAUCAAAGCUACCUAGCAAGAACGAGCGAUCUACUACUACUCUGAGGAGAGCUCGACCA
Molecule: long non-coding RNA, 577 nt
Filed under: Hordeum vulgare
Lineage: Eukaryota; Viridiplantae; Streptophyta; Magnoliopsida; Poales; Poaceae
Description: long non-coding RNA (HVUL_LNC010276)
Source: RNAcentral